CAGGAAAGAGUUUGCCAGGAAACCAGACUGACACAGGCUGAGUGGAAAAGAGAAGUUGGAGCAGGACUCACAGACCGUCUUGGGACCAGUAAAGGAAGUGGGAGAAAGGACAUAAGCACACAUCCUUUUGUGAGCCUCCCUUUUCCCCAUAAACCGAAGGCGUAGCAGCGGCAGUGAAAAGCGGAGGGCGAAGAGGACAUUUCUGAGGGCUCUGUGCAGUCUCCAGCCCAAGGGAGCUCGCAGUGGGAUUUCUGCUUUAUGUCAGCUGCGCAGUGGGGCAGGAAGACCUCCGUCCUCCGAGGGCAGGGAUCCAGGGAGCAGACAGUUUCUGGGCUGAACAUCAGGGACACACCAAUGAACUGUGAGAGCCCCAGUGCUGACCAUCUGACCCCAGGAAAUGGACGGCCGGUGCCGUGUGCUAGAAGACAGCUUCCUGCCAGGAGGAGGAACUGGGCUUGGUCUCCCCGUGCGCCAGCCUGUGGAUGCGACUGUCUGGAGUUUCGUGGAUGGCUAUGGGAAUCAGACUCCUGUGGUCCUAUUCAAUUAAACUACCAAAUGAGAACCUACUAUGUCAGUGCUUUGAAGAAGCAGGUGAUGUUGGGGAAAGGCCAUGGGCUUUGAAGUUUGAGAGGCUUCGGUUUAAAUUCUAGGUCCACUACCUACUGACUAUAUGACUUAGGAAAGAUACUUACCCUCUUUGGGCUUCAGUUUCUUUAUCUGUGAAGUAAUAACAGUAAUGUCUACUUUACAGGGCUGAGAUAAAAAUUAAAUAAAGUUAUCGUGCAUAAAGGGUAUAGAAUAAUGCCUGCUGCCUUAUCAGUGCUCAGAAACCAAUCUUUCUUACUAGGUUUCAUGGGGAGAUGGAGGAGAGGUAAAUAUCAGACAUG
This is a long non-coding RNA of Molossus molossus (Pallas's mastiff bat), 887 nucleotides long. RefSeq lists it as uncharacterized. The record is from RefSeq and is a predicted model, not a curated record. The transcript has 3 exons. NCBI's taxonomy places the organism in Eukaryota, Metazoa, Chordata, Mammalia, Chiroptera, Molossidae.